AACGAACGCUGGCGGCAUGCCUAACACAUGCAAGUCGAACGAGACCUUCGGGUCUAGUGGCGCACGGGUGCGUAACGCGUGGGAAUCUGCCCUUGGGUUCGGGAUAACAGUUGGAAACGACUGCUAAUACCGGAUGAUGACUUCGGUCCAAAGAUUUAUCGCCCAGGGAUGAGCCCGCGUCGGAUUAGCUAGUUGGUGAGGUAAGAGCUCACCAAGGCGACGAUCCGUAGCUGGUCUGAGAGGAUGAUCAGCCACACUGGGACUGAGACACGGCCCAGACUCCUACGGGAGGCAGCAGUGGGGAAUAUUGGACAAUGGGCGAAAGCCUGAUCCAGCAAUGCCGCGUGAGUGAUGAAGGCCUUAGGGUUGUAAAGCCCUUUUACCCGGGAUGAUAAUGACAGUACCGGGAGAAUAAGCCCCGGCUAACUCCGUG
Molecule: ribosomal RNA, 433 nt
Filed under: uncultured bacterium
Lineage: Bacteria
Description: partial 16S ribosomal RNA
Rfam family: Bacterial small subunit ribosomal RNA
Source: RNAcentral